CCUACGUGAGGCAGCAGUGAGGAAUAUUGGUCAAUGGCCGCAGGGCUGAACCAGCCAAGUCGCGUGAGGGAUGACGGUCCUAUGGAUUGUAAACCUCUUUUGUCAGGGCGCACAGGGCGCCACGUGUGGCGCUUUUCGAGUACCUGAAGAAAAAGCAUCGGCUAACUCCGUGCCAGCCGCCGCGGUAAUACGGAGGAUGCCAGCGUUAUCCGGAUUUAUUGGGUGUAAAGGGUGCGCAGGCGGAAUGUCAAGUCAGCGGUAAAAGUUCGGGGCGCAACCCCGUCGGGCCGUUGAAACUGGCGUUCUUGAGUGAGCGAGAAGUAUGCGGAAGGCGUGGUGUAGCGGUGAAAUGCAUAGAUAUCACGCAGAACUCCGAUUGCGAAGGCAGCAUACCGGCGCUCAACUGACGCUCAUGCACGAAAGCGUGGGUAUCGAACAGGAUUAGAUACCCUAGUAGUC
This 459-nucleotide ribosomal RNA is filed under the name uncultured bacterium. Its description in RNAcentral is "partial 16S ribosomal RNA". It matches the Rfam family "Bacterial small subunit ribosomal RNA", at positions 338 to 795 of the family's 1533-position model. The record is from RNAcentral.